This 253-nucleotide unclassified non-coding RNA is filed under the name uncultured Caldilineaceae bacterium. RNAcentral's name for it is "contains 16S-23S intergenic spacer region". It matches the Rfam family "Bacterial small subunit ribosomal RNA", at positions 524 to 776 of the family's 1533-position model. The record is from RNAcentral. Lineage: Bacteria; Bacillati; Chloroflexota; Caldilineae; Caldilineales; Caldilineaceae.
UACGUAGGUGUCAAGCGUUAUCCGGAAUUACUGGGCGUAAAGGGCACGCAGGCGGUUUUGUAAGUCUGACGUGAAAGCUCCCGGCUUAACCGGGAGAGGUCGUUGGAAACUGCAAGACUUGAGACAGUGAGAGGGGAGCGGAAUUCCCGGUGUAGUGGUGGAAUGCGUAGAUAUCGGGAAGAACACCAGUGGCGAAAGCGGCUUUCUGGCACUGUUCUGACGCUGAGGUGCGAAAGCGUGGGGAGCGAACGGG